CCUACGGGUGGCAGCAGUGGGGAAUCUUCCGCAAUGGGCGCAAGCCUGACGGAGCAACGCCGCGUGAAUGAAGAAGGUCUUCGGAUCGUAAAGUUCUGUUCUUAGGGAAGAAGACUUAGGUUGUGAAUCAUUACUUAAGGUGACGGUACCUAUGGAGAAAGCUCCGGCUAACUACGUGCCAGCAGCCGCGGUAAUACGGAGGGCGCGAGCGUUGUUCGGAUUUACUGGGCGUAAAGGGGGCGUAGGCGGGAAGUUAAGUUAGAUGUGAAAGCUUCGGGCUUAACCUUGAGACUGCAUUUGAAACUGGGUGUCUUGAGGACAGGAGAGGAAGGUGGAAUUCGUAGUGUAGCGGUGAAAUGCGUAGAUAUUAGGAGGAACACCAGUGGCGAAGGCGACUUUCUAGACUGUACCUGACGCUGAGGCGCGAAAGCAUGGGGAGCGAACAGGAUUAGAUACCCGAGUAGUC
Molecule: ribosomal RNA, 466 nt
Filed under: uncultured bacterium
Lineage: Bacteria
Description: partial 16S ribosomal RNA
Rfam family: Bacterial small subunit ribosomal RNA
Source: RNAcentral